UGGAACCGGCAUGGCAGAAGCGGUGCCGCUCACGUUUUUCUUGCUGCUUUUGCAGAUGCGACUGCACCUUCUACCUAUGCUGUCAUGCUUCCCAAUCGGCAUGCUUAACAGGAAAUGGGGCAGGCUGCGCGGCCGCCGCUGCAGAACGCUGGAUGCCAAAGGGAAGUGCGUGUACGCCUGUGUCUUGAAGAUAGACGGUGGCCUGCCUAACGACCCGAGCUGGGCCCCAAAGGGAAGCAGGAGAGACGUGCCUUCCGAAAGAAUCAAUGUCUUU
Molecule: non-coding RNA, 274 nt
Organism: Dermacentor albipictus
Lineage: Eukaryota; Metazoa; Arthropoda; Arachnida; Ixodida; Ixodidae
Source: RefSeq, a predicted model, not a curated record